Helianthus annuus (common sunflower) is the source of this 982-nucleotide long non-coding RNA. RefSeq lists it as uncharacterized. The transcript is spliced from 3 exons. Lineage: Eukaryota; Viridiplantae; Streptophyta; Magnoliopsida; Asterales; Asteraceae. The record is from RefSeq and is a predicted model, not a curated record.
CUUCAUAUCCUUGUGUUCGUCGUUUCGCUUUAAUCGUAAAAAAAAAAAAAAGAGAGAACUGACUAGAAACAACAACCAAAGUGUUUUUAACGCAAUUGACGAACGUACACGUCAAAACCGACUAUCGACUGUAUUUUACGUGUUUUAAAUACCAAAAUUUUAUUUUAUUACGUUUCGCGGAGUUUGGGCUUUGAAAGCGGGUUCGUAGGAGUAAAUGGGCCAAUUAAAGCACGUGAUUGGGCUUGUGGGUCUUGGGCCUAAGCCCAUUAAAAGAUUAACCCUAAGUAUGUAAAAUAGCAAGAAACCCUAAACUCCUUAUUAUUUUUUUCUUUUCACCAGCCGCUCAUUACCCGAUUGUUCCCUCCCAUUUCAUUUCCCUUACAAUCUUAUGUUCUAACACAAAUAAGAUUUCAUCUCCUCCAAACACACACACCUGGACAAAAACAACCAUCACCUCCUUGCACCUUAUUCCCCCAGACGAACUGAAAACAACCAGCCACCACCCUUUGGUGGCGGCAUACUGUGACUGAAGCACAGAUCGAGAGGGAGACGUGCGAGGGGAGAGAGAGAGAUGAACGAGAGAGGAACCGGCGGACGACAGCGGCGGUGAAGCCGCCUGAAUUAACGACAGCGGCGACGGGGUCAUUUGGGGUCUCUCUCCAUUUCAAACUCGGUUCUACGGGAGCAUCGAAGUCGUCGGAAUUCUUACGUUGGAUCCUCGUUCGUUAUUCUGUUCUCGGAUAACCGUUUCGUUCGUUCUCUUGGAUUAUUCACCAUCUUCACUCGUGCGUUAUUUCAGGGAAUUCUUAUACGCAACCAAUGUGGAUGUUGACGAUGCAUGGAAUCUAGUAGGAUGCUUAGAUACACACUUAAAAAAAUUUGUAUUCAUAUUGUAUUAUUUCAUUACUCAUGUUGUUGUAUUUUGUUUCAAAACCUUGUAAUUGAUUCUUUAGAAAUGGAAUGAAAUGAUUAUUUAAAUACU